AGGUUAAUGGGUUACAAGUAUCCUAUAAAAGUAUAGUAAAAUAUUAAAAAAAUAAAUUUUAAAAAAAAGGAAGACGCAUGCCAAAUUUUAAAAAAUGUGUGGAAUUUAAAAAAAAAACUGCUAGUGUACCAAAUACUAACCUUUAAAAUUGGACUAAAAUUUGAGUGAGUAUUUGGUACACUAGCAGAAUGUUUUUUUUUAUUCCACAAGCAACCUUAAAAAGUUGUCAUAUGUCUUCUUCUUUUUAAUAUUUUACUAUACUCUUAUAGGACACUUGUUAACCCCUAACUC
Molecule: microRNA precursor, 291 nt
Filed under: Gossypium hirsutum (cotton)
Lineage: Eukaryota; Viridiplantae; Streptophyta; Magnoliopsida; Malvales; Malvaceae
Description: miR7487 stem-loop (ghr-MIR7487)
Source: miRBase by way of RNAcentral